This 438-nucleotide ribosomal RNA is filed under the name uncultured bacterium. RNAcentral's name for it is "partial 16S ribosomal RNA". It matches the Rfam family "Bacterial small subunit ribosomal RNA", at positions 339 to 795 of the family's 1533-position model. The record is from RNAcentral.
CUACGGGACGCUCCAGUGGGGAAUAUUGCACAAUGGGCGCAAGCCUGAUGCAGCAACGCCGCGUGAAUGAUGAAGGCCUUCGGGUCGUAAAAUUCUGUCCUUAAGGAAGAUAAUGACGGUACUUAAGGAGGAAGCCCCGGCUAACUACGUGCCAGCAGCCGCGGUAAUACGUAGGGGGCUAGCGUUAUCCGGAUUUACUGGGCGUAAAGGGUGCGUAGGUGAUUUUUCAAGUCAGAGGUUAAAGGCUACGGCUCAACCGUAGUAAGCCUUUGAAACUGGAAAACUUGAGUGCAGGAGAGGAAAGUGGAAUUCCCAGUGUAGCGGUGAAAUGCGUAGAUAUUGGGAGGAACACCAGUAGCGAAGGCGGCUUUCUGGACUGUAACUGACACUGAGGCACGAAAGCGUGGGUAGCAAACAGGAUUAGAUACCCCAGUAGUC